UGUUCAGGCGGUCUAGCAAGUCGGGCAUGAAAUCUCUGGGCUCAACCCGGAGGGGUUGUCCGAUACUGCUGGGCUUGAGGGCAGCAGAGGGUGGUGGAAUUCCGGGUGUAGUGGUGAAAUGCGUAGAUAUCCGGAGGAACACCAGUGGCGAAGGCGGCCACCUGGGCUGUACCUGACGCUCAAACACGAAAGCUAGGGGAGCGAACGGGAUUAGAAACCCCGGUAGUCCUAGCCGUAAACGAUGUUGACUAGGUGUCGACGGUCUAAACCCCGCCGGUGCCGGAGCUAACGCACGAAGUCAACCGCCUGGGGACUACGGCCGCAAGGUUAAA
RNAcentral lists this ribosomal RNA (332 nucleotides) under uncultured Thermanaerothrix sp. RNAcentral's name for it is "bacterial SSU rRNA". It matches the Rfam family "Bacterial small subunit ribosomal RNA", at positions 568 to 898 of the family's 1533-position model. The record is from RNAcentral. Lineage: Bacteria; Bacillati; Chloroflexota; Anaerolineae; Anaerolineales; Anaerolineaceae.